ACACAUGCAAGUCGAACGGGAAAUAUUUCAUUGAGACUUCGGUGGAUUUGAUCUAUUUCUAGUGGCGGACGGGUGAGUAACGCGUGGGUAACCUGCCUUAUACAGGGGGAUAACAGUCAGAAAUGGCUGCUAAUACCGCAUAAGCGCACAGAGCUGCAUGGCUCAGUGUGAAAAACUCCGGUGGUAUAAGAUGGACCCGCGUUGGAUUAGCUUGUUGGUGGGGUAAUGGCCCACCAAGGCGACGAUCCAUAGCCGGCCUGAGAGGGUGAACGGCCACAUUGGGACUGAGACACGGCCCAGACUCCUACGGGAGGCAGCAGUGGGGAAUAUUGCACAAUGGGGGAAACCCUGAUGCAGCGACGCCGCGUGAAGGAAGAAGUAUCUCGGUAUGUAAACUUCUAUCAGCAGGGAAGAUAGUGACGGUACCUGACUAAGAAGCCCCGGCUAACUACGUGCCAGCAGCCGCGGUAAUACGUAGGGGGCAAGCGUUAUCCGGAUUUACUGGGUGUAAAGGGAGCGUAGACGGUGUGGCAAGUCUGAUGUGAAAGGCAUGGGCUCAACCUGUGGACUGCAUUGGAAACUGUCAUACUUGAGUGCCGGAGGGGUAAGCGGAAUUCCUAGUGUAGCGGUGAAAUGCGUAGAUAUUAGGAGGAACACCAGUGGCGAAGGCGGCUUACUGGACGGUAACUGACGUUGAGGCUCGAAAGCGUGGGGAGCAAACAGG
This 724-nucleotide ribosomal RNA is filed under the name uncultured Lachnospiraceae bacterium. RNAcentral describes it as "bacterial SSU rRNA". It matches the Rfam family "Bacterial small subunit ribosomal RNA", at positions 51 to 776 of the family's 1533-position model. The record is from RNAcentral. Lineage: Bacteria; Bacillati; Bacillota; Clostridia; Lachnospirales; Lachnospiraceae.